RNAcentral lists this ribosomal RNA (459 nucleotides) under uncultured bacterium. Its description in RNAcentral is "partial 16S ribosomal RNA". It matches the Rfam family "Bacterial small subunit ribosomal RNA", at positions 338 to 795 of the family's 1533-position model. The record is from RNAcentral.
CCUACGGGAGGCAGCAGUGAGGAAUAUUGGUCAAUGGCCGAGAGGCUGAACCAGCCAAGUCGCGUGAGGGAAGACGGCCCUACGGGUUGUAAACCUCUUUUGUCGGGGAGCAAAGCGAGUCACGUGUGACUCAUUGAGAGUACCCGAAGAAAAAGCAUCGGCUAACUUCGUGCCAGCAGCCGCGGUAAUAGGGAGGAUGCGAGCGUUAUCCGGAUUUAUUGGGUUUAAAGGGUGCGCAGGCGGAGGUGCAAGUCAGCGGUAAAAUUGCGGGGCUCAACCCCGUACGGCCGUGGAAACUGCAUCCCUUGAGUGCGCGAGAGGUAUGCGGAAUGCGUGGUGUAGCGGUGAAAUGCAUAGAUAUCACGCAGAACUCCGAUUGCGAAGGCAGCAUACCGGCGCGCAACUGACGCUGAUGCACGAAAGCGUGGGUAUCGAACAGGAUUAGAUACCCGAGUAGUC